UACAGAGGUCCCGAGCGUUGUUCGGAUUCAUUGGGCGUAAAGGGUGCGUAGGCGGUUUGCUAAGUUUGAUGUGAAAUCCCGGGGCUUAACCCUGGAAUUGCAUUGAAUACUGGUGAACUAGAGUACUGGAGAGGAAACUGGAAUUUACGGUGUAGCAGUGAAAUGCGUAGAGAUCGUAAGGAAGACCAGUGGCGAAGGCGAGUUUCUGGACAGUUACUGACGCUGAGGCACGAAGGCCAGGGGAGCAAACGGG
Molecule: ribosomal RNA, 253 nt
Filed under: uncultured bacterium
Lineage: Bacteria
Description: partial 16S ribosomal RNA
Rfam family: Bacterial small subunit ribosomal RNA
Source: RNAcentral